GACGAACGCUGGCGGCGUGCUUAACACAUGCAAGUCGAACGGAAAGGCCCUGCUUUUGUGGGGUGCUCGAGUGGCGAACGGGUGAGUAACACGUGAGUAACCUGCCCUUGACUUUGGGAUAACUUCAGGAAACUGGGGCUAAUACCGGAUAGGAGCUCCUGCUGCAUGGUGGGGGUUGGAAAGUUUCGGCGGUUGGGGAUGGACUCGCGGCUUAUCAGCUUGUUGGUGGGGUAGUGGCUUACCAAGGCUUUGACGGGUAGCCGGCCUGAGAGGGUGACCGGCCACAUGGGGACUGAGAGACGGCCCAGACUGCUACGGGAGGCAGCAGUGGGGAAUAUUGCACAAUGGGCGGAAGCCUGAUGCAGCAACGCCGCGUGCGGGAUGACGGCCUUCGGGUUGUAAACCGCUUUCGCCUGUGACGAAGCGGGAGUGACGGUAAUGGGUAAAGAAGCACCGGCUAACUACGUG
RNAcentral lists this ribosomal RNA (468 nucleotides) under uncultured bacterium. RNAcentral's name for it is "partial 16S ribosomal RNA". It matches the Rfam family "Bacterial small subunit ribosomal RNA", at positions 28 to 507 of the family's 1533-position model. The record is from RNAcentral.